CUUCCUCCUCGUAAUGUUCCUUCCCUUUGUGAAACUCUCAGUUCUUCCUUGUGAUUGGUGUUCCCCCAUGAAUUCAAACUCCUUUCUGCAGCUUCAAAAGGUGAAUGGACCAUGGACCAGUUCUCAGUUGCUGUUGGGGUGUUUUGUCAAAUAGCUUUGUUAAAAUCGCCAUUUAGGUAUGAAGCAGAGAAGCAUAUGUGUUUCAAAUUUUCCACCUGUGGUUUGACAAUAGUUGCUGCUCUUUGGAUUAUGUUCUGAUAGUCCUUUUUGUAAGCUGUCCUAGCCAAAGUUAGGUUAUUUUGCUUUUCUCGCAAAUAUUUGGCUCUGGUUUAAUAUGUAUAUAUAAUAUCGGUGAGCCUCUGUGGUACUACGAUCAUUGUGAAUGAUGGCCAUACUGAUUUGGUAGUGUCCUUAAUCUUUCUUGUCUUGAUCCGCAAACUCAUGACCUGUUGCUUAUCC
Molecule: long non-coding RNA, 459 nt
Organism: Solanum stenotomum
Lineage: Eukaryota; Viridiplantae; Streptophyta; Magnoliopsida; Solanales; Solanaceae
Exons: 3
Source: RefSeq, a predicted model, not a curated record